GUGGGGAAUUUUGGACAAUGGGCGCAAGCCUGAUCCAGCCAUGCCGCGUGCAGGAUGAAGGCCUUCGGGUUGUAAACUGCUUUUGUACGGAACGAAACGGCUCUUUCUAAUAAAGAGGGCUAAUGACGGUACCGUAAGAAUAAGCACCGGCUAACUACGUGCCAGCAGCCGCGGUAAUACGUAGGGUGCGAGCGUUAAUCGGAAUUACUGGGCGUAAAGCUUGCGCAGGCGGUGAUGUAAGACAGAUGUGAAAUCCCCGGGCUCAACCUGGGAACUGCAUUUGUGACUGCAUCGCUGGAGUGCGGGAGAGGGGGAUGGAAUUCCGCGUGUAGCAGUGAAAUGCGUAGAUAUGCGGAGGAACACCGAUGGCGAAGGCAAUCCCCUGGGCGUGCACUGACGCUCAUGCACGAAAGCGUGGGGAGCAAACAGGAUUAGAAACCCCUGUAGUCC
RNAcentral lists this ribosomal RNA (450 nucleotides) under uncultured bacterium. RNAcentral describes it as "partial 16S ribosomal RNA". It matches the Rfam family "Bacterial small subunit ribosomal RNA", at positions 354 to 796 of the family's 1533-position model. The record is from RNAcentral.